This 84-nucleotide transfer RNA is filed under the name Campylobacter sp. RM16192. It matches the Rfam family "tRNA". From Rfam's summary of the family: Transfer RNA (tRNA) molecules are approximately 80 nucleotides in length. Their secondary structure includes four short double-helical elements and three loops (D, anti-codon, and T loops). The record is from Rfam by way of RNAcentral. Lineage: Bacteria; Pseudomonadati; Campylobacterota; Epsilonproteobacteria; Campylobacterales; Campylobacteraceae.
GCCCGGGUGGCGGAAUGGUAGACGCAAGGGACUUAAAAUCCCUCGGUAAUUUUUACUGUACCGGUUCAAGUCCGGUCCCGGGCA